This 119-nucleotide ribosomal RNA is filed under the name Amphilophus citrinellus (Midas cichlid). The record is from RNAcentral. Lineage: Eukaryota; Metazoa; Chordata; Actinopteri; Cichliformes; Cichlidae.
AUUUGGGGCCAUACCACCCUGAACCUGCCCGAUCUCCUCUGAUCUCAGAAGCUAAGCAGGGUCCAGCCUGGUUAGUACUCAGAUAGGAGACCACCUAAGAAUACUAGGUGCUGUACAUC